This 206-nucleotide ribosomal RNA is filed under the name uncultured bacterium. RNAcentral describes it as "partial 16S ribosomal RNA". It matches the Rfam family "Bacterial small subunit ribosomal RNA", at positions 1288 to 1500 of the family's 1533-position model. The record is from RNAcentral.
UCAGUUCGGAUCGAAGUCUGCAACCCGACUUCGUGAAGCUGGAUUCGCUAGUAAUCGCGCAUCAGCCAUGGCGCGGUGAAUACGUUCCCGGGCCUUGUACACACCCGCCCGUCAAGCCAUGAAAGCCGGGGGUACCUGAAGUACGUAACCGCAAGGAGCGUCCUAGGGUAAAACUGGUAAUUGGGGCUAAGUCGUAACAAGGUAUC